GUGCUCGCUUGGGCAGGACAUACACUAACGACGGAGCAUGAGAGAGAAGUCUAGCUGGGCCUCUGCCCAAGGAGGACACGCAAAUUCACGAGAGAGAGAAAUACCGU
This 107-nucleotide small nuclear RNA is filed under the name Ursus americanus (American black bear). Lineage: Eukaryota; Metazoa; Chordata; Mammalia; Carnivora; Ursidae. The record is from RNAcentral.